RNAcentral lists this long non-coding RNA (825 nucleotides) under Solanum tuberosum (potato). RNAcentral's name for it is "long non-coding RNA (STUB_LNC003293)". Lineage: Eukaryota; Viridiplantae; Streptophyta; Magnoliopsida; Solanales; Solanaceae. The record is from RNAcentral.
CGUAGCAAAGCAAUUAUCCGCUUCGCACUGUGCUAUGUACCCAACGUUUGCCAUGGGUACAAUAACUGAUACACCAGACUUGCAUCCUUUCCGGUCAACCUCUCCUACUUACUCAAAAGUUGUUGAUCCUUUUCCAUUGUAUCCCUUCCAAUAUAUCCAAGAAUUAAUUUGGAAUAAACGUUACACAAUUAUAUUAGAGGGAUUAAAUCUCUAAAUACGUGUAUGCAUGGAAGAUGAUAUUAUGUACCUAUUUGUGAAUACAAUAUCCAAAGCAAUUUUUUUGAACUCCUUCAAUUAACUUAACAUUAAUUUCUUUGAACAAAUUACCAAAUAUCCCUUAUCCGAUCAAUGCUCGCCACAUGUCACGAUUAGAAGUGGUGAAGUGACAUGUGUCAAUAUUAAAAACAAAAAUAUAUGACUACCUCAAAUUCAAACGAAAAAUCUACGUACGGAAGAAGAAGAAAAAAUGAAUGGAGGAAGAUAAAUGAAAGAUAAAAGGAAAAGGUAGUGGAUGAGAAUAGAUAAGGUCCUAUCUUCAAUCUAAUGCUACUUGUGGUUGUACUUCAACAUUUGCUUCACAUUCUUUCAAUUUUUAUCUCCUUCAAUUAUCAAUUUGGUGGUCGAACUUUUUAGUUAUUAUCACUAUGGACCAUAUGUGUUUCUGCAACAGUAUGGCCUAAUUCUCCUUAUGUGGGGGGAAUAUAGAUGAGUUUUGAAUUAAAAAAUAAUAUUUGUCGGCAUUAUAAAAUUAUUUACUCAUUCGAUGUAUCCAACGAGUUAAUUAUUUUUCAAAAGUUAUCGAUUCAUAUCUACCGUUUAGAAAGA